Molecule: ribosomal RNA, 439 nt
Filed under: Granulicatella adiacens
Lineage: Bacteria; Bacillati; Bacillota; Bacilli; Lactobacillales; Carnobacteriaceae
Description: bacterial SSU rRNA
Rfam family: Bacterial small subunit ribosomal RNA
Source: RNAcentral
GACGAACGCUGGCGGCGUGCCUAAUACAUGCAAGUCGAACGAGAGCGACUGGUGCUUGCACUGGUCAAUCUAGUGGCGAACGGGUGAGUAACACGUGGGUAACCUGCCCAUCAGAGGGGGAUAACAUCCGGAAACGGAUGCUAAAACCGCAUAGGUCCUUUAACCGCAUGGUUGAAGGAGGAAAAGAGGCGCAAGCUUCUGCUGAUGGAUGGACCCGCGGUGCAUUAGCUAGUUGGUGAGGUAACGGCUCACCAAGGCCGUGAUGCAUAGCCGACCUGAGAGGGUGAUCGGCCACAUUGGGACUGAGACACGGCCCAAACUCCUACGGGAGGCAGCAGUAGGGAAUCUUCCGCAAUGGACGCAAGUCUGACGGAGCAAACGCCGCGUGGAAGUGAAGAAAGGUUUUUCGGGAUCGUAAAAACUCUGUUGGUAAGAGAAG